AUUUUAAAGUUUGAUUCUUGCUUAUAGUUUUUAUAUUAUGGCUAAAAAAUACAUGAAAAUUAUAGUGUUCUUUUAUAUUAUAAAUUAAAAAUUUAUAUAACUUUAGUCUCAGUAUUUAAUUUUAAAUAUUAAUUAAAAUUAGAAUUGGUGGUCAUUUUAAUCCUGACUAAAAUUUGUGCCAGCAGUCGCGGUUAUACUUAGGGGGUGAAUAAACACAGUUUGGUGUUAUAGUAGAUUAUUAGUUAACUAAAACUUAUUAUUUUUUUUAAAGGGUGAAAUCAGGAUUUAAUUAUAAUAAUAAUUUUAAAAUAAA
This 313-nucleotide ribosomal RNA is filed under the name Cryptolithodes typicus. Its description in RNAcentral is "partial 12S ribosomal RNA". Lineage: Eukaryota; Metazoa; Arthropoda; Malacostraca; Decapoda; Lithodidae. The record is from RNAcentral.